Molecule: non-coding RNA, 112 nt
Filed under: Sporosarcina sp.
Lineage: Bacteria; Bacillati; Bacillota; Bacilli; Caryophanales; Caryophanaceae
Description: SAM-I sequence
Rfam family: SAM riboswitch aptamer (S box leader)
About the family: The SAM riboswitch is found upstream of a number of genes which code for proteins involved in methionine or cysteine biosynthesis in Gram-positive bacteria. The SAM riboswitch acts at the level of transcription termination control.
Source: RNAcentral
CUCUUAUCGAGAGCGACUGAGGGAAAAGGCCCGAUGAAGUCCAGCAACCCCUUGAAUGAAACAAGGAAGGUGCCAAAUCCUGCAGAAUGGUUUUCCAUCUGAGAGAUAAGCU